AUGGCAACUGCCAGUUCCGUUCAUUAUCAGACCAGCUUUACCGCACUCCUGAUCACCACAAAUCCGUGAGGGAACAAGUUGUUGAUCAGCUUGCUUAUAAUCGAGAGAUAUACGAGGGUUAUGUUCCUAUGGCCUACAACGACUAUUUGAAGAAAAUGAGAAGGUUUCACACUCGGUUCCCACAUUCUUUUUCUAUAGAUUUCAUUGUAUUGUUU
Tarenaya hassleriana is the source of this 215-nucleotide long non-coding RNA. RefSeq lists it as uncharacterized. Lineage: Eukaryota; Viridiplantae; Streptophyta; Magnoliopsida; Brassicales; Cleomaceae. The record is from RefSeq and is a predicted model, not a curated record. The transcript is spliced from 3 exons.